Molecule: long non-coding RNA, 930 nt
Filed under: Equus caballus (horse)
Lineage: Eukaryota; Metazoa; Chordata; Mammalia; Perissodactyla; Equidae
Description: lncRNA (ENSECAG00000039859.3)
Source: RNAcentral
CUUCCUGAAUGAGGGACCCCUCGCUUUUGAGAAGAGUCCAACUUUUAAGUUCUGGUCAUGGCCUGGUCCUUUGGUUCUGUAGGGAGGAGAAUCUUUGGUUCUGCAGUCAUUUCUAGUCAAUAUUUCUUCUUCGGUGCAUGCUCUGGGCACAUGGCUUUGCAAACUUUCUGAAGGGAAAUUCUUAAUCACCCUGUUGAUAAGAUGGGGUCAGUUGAACUGGUCCCGGAGGGCCCAUAGUUACAUGCUGAGUGAACAGUUAGAUGUAGAAAUGAGGGAUAGGAAGAAAGUUAGAAAUCCAACUGAGUCUCUAGCUUGAAGAUCUGAAAUAGGGAAUGUGGGCAGGAGCAGAUACUUAUGGAGAAAUUGACACUUUUUGAGCUCCUACUAUGUGCCAGAGUUUGCUAGACACUUAGCAUAACUGUUGGCAUUUAGGCAGUCAAGAAAUAGCAUUCUUAUUUUUCUCCCCAACUUGGAAACCAUUGAAGGAUACAACACAAGAGUUAGUCACAUGGAGAUCAAAAUCUCUGGCCAGCAUUGAUCUUGGGUUUGGAUUGACAAUUAAACUCAAGACACCAUAGGCUUCAUCUGGCAUUGUUUAGCUUUAGGAAAGGCUAUGGAUACAAUAACAGCAUGAAUGGACCAGCAGAGUAAAGUCCCAUGACGCCCAGGCACAGCUUCUGAGGUCCCCUACACUCUGCACUUGGAAUGCGAUGAAGGGAUUUUACUAGGUGAAGAUUCCUUUGUCAGCUGCUCUUGGAGCCUGUACUCCAGCACCAGCUCCACUGAAGCCUUUAUCAAUUGAACAUUUCAUAUUAAUCAAGGAGGAUAUGAUUUUGCUGGAGAACCAAUUGGUGCUGCUGUCACUUUUCACUCGUUUAUUAUAGGAAACACUGGCAUUUGUCAUUUUUCCAAUAUUUGGAGCUUGCUGCC